RNAcentral lists this ribosomal RNA (305 nucleotides) under uncultured bacterium. RNAcentral's name for it is "partial 16S ribosomal RNA". It matches the Rfam family "Bacterial small subunit ribosomal RNA", at positions 508 to 809 of the family's 1533-position model. The record is from RNAcentral.
ACAGCAGUCGCCGCGGGAAUACGAAGGGGGCUAGCGUUGUUCGGAAUUACUGGGCGUAAAGCGCACGUAGGCGGGUAUUUAAGUCAGGGGUGAAAUCCCGCAGCUCAACUGCGGAACUGCCUUUGAUACUGGGUAUCUUGAGUAUGGAAGAGGUUAGUGGAAUUGCGAGUGUAGAGGUGAAAUUCGUAGAUAUUCGCAGGAACACCAGUGGCGAAGGCGGCUAACUGGUCCAUAACUGACGCUGAGGUGCGAAAGCGUGGGGAGCAAACAGGAUUAGAUACCCCUGUAGUCCCUGUCUCUUAUAU